This 258-nucleotide ribosomal RNA is filed under the name uncultured bacterium. Its description in RNAcentral is "partial 16S ribosomal RNA". It matches the Rfam family "Bacterial small subunit ribosomal RNA", at positions 524 to 776 of the family's 1533-position model. The record is from RNAcentral.
UACGUAGGGUGCAAGCGUUGUCCGGAAUUAUUGGGCGUAAAGAGCUCGUAGGCGGUCUGUCGCGUCUGCUGUGAAAACUCAGGGCUUAACCCUGAGCUUGCAGUGGGUACGGGCAGACUAGAGUGCGGUAGGGGGAGACUGGAAUUCCUGGUGUAGCGGUGAAAUGCGCAGAUAUCAGGAGGAACACCGGUGGGCGAAGGCGGGGUCUCUGGGCCGUAAACUGACGCUGGAGGAGCGAAAGCAUGGGGAGCGAACAGG